RNAcentral lists this microRNA precursor (96 nucleotides) under Helianthus annuus (common sunflower). RNAcentral's name for it is "microRNA mir-598". It matches the Rfam family "mir-598 microRNA precursor family". Lineage: Eukaryota; Viridiplantae; Streptophyta; Magnoliopsida; Asterales; Asteraceae. The record is from RNAcentral.
AAAAGAAGAUGAUGAUGAUGAUGAUGAUGAUGAUGAUGAUGAUGAUGAUGAUCAUCAUCAUCAUCAUCAUCAUCAUCAUCUUCAUCAUCAUGAAGA